ACCUCGGUGGUGUAGUGGUAGAACGCGCUCCCAGUAUGGGUGAAACACGGGUUCAAUACCCGCCUGAGAUU
Molecule: non-coding RNA, 71 nt
Organism: Parelaphostrongylus tenuis
Lineage: Eukaryota; Metazoa; Nematoda; Chromadorea; Rhabditida; Metastrongylidae
Source: the annotation of a GenBank genome assembly